RNAcentral lists this ribosomal RNA (443 nucleotides) under uncultured bacterium. Its description in RNAcentral is "partial 16S ribosomal RNA". It matches the Rfam family "Bacterial small subunit ribosomal RNA", at positions 338 to 795 of the family's 1533-position model. The record is from RNAcentral.
CCUACGGGUGGCAGCAGUGGGGAAUAUUGGGCAAUGGGCGCAAGCCUGACCCAGCAACGCCGCGUGAAGGAAGAAGGCCUUCGGGUUGUAAACUUCUUUUCUCAGGGACGAAGCAAGUGACGGUACCUGAGGAAUAAGCCACGGCUAACUACGUGCCAGCAGCCGCGGUAAUACGUAGGUGGCAAGCGUUAUCCGGAUUUACUGGGGGUAAAGGGAGUGUAGGCGGGCCUGUAAGUCAGAUGUGAAAUCCAUGGGCUCAACCCAUGACCUGCAUUGAAGACUGUAGGUCUUGAGUGCUAGAGAGGCAAGCGGAAUUCCUAGUGUAGCGGUGAAAUGCGUAGAUAGUAGGAGGAACACCAGUGGCGAAGGCGGUCUACUGGAUAGUAACUGACGCUGAGGCGCGAAAGCGUGGGGAGCAAACAGGAUUAGAUACCCGUGUAGUC